GAUGAACGCUGGCGGCGUGCCUAAUACAUGCAAGUCGAGCGAACAGAUGAGGAGCUUGAUCAUAUGAAGUUAGAGGCGGACGGGUGAGUAACAAGUGGAUAACAUAACUAUAAGACUGGGAUAAAUUCGGGAAAACGGAGCUAAUACCGGAUAAUAUAUUGAACCGCAUGGUUCAAUAGUGAAAGACGGUUUUGCUGUCACUUAUAGAUGGAUCCGCGCCGCAUUAGCUAGUUGGUAAGGUAACGGCUUACCAAGGCAACGAUGCGUAGCCGACCUGAGAGGGUGAUCGGCCACACUGGAACUGAGACACGGUCCAGACUCCUACGGGAGGCAGCAGUAGGGAAUCUUCCGCAAUGUGCGAAAGCCUGACGGAGCAACGCCGCGUGAGUGAUGAAGGUCUUCGGAUCAUAAAACUCUGUUAUUAGGGAAGAACAAAUGUGUAAGUAACUAUGCACGUCUUGACGGUACCUAAUCAGAAAGCCACGGCUAACUACGUG
Molecule: ribosomal RNA, 497 nt
Filed under: uncultured bacterium
Lineage: Bacteria
Description: partial 16S ribosomal RNA
Rfam family: Bacterial small subunit ribosomal RNA
Source: RNAcentral